This 461-nucleotide ribosomal RNA is filed under the name uncultured bacterium. Its description in RNAcentral is "bacterial SSU rRNA". It matches the Rfam family "Bacterial small subunit ribosomal RNA", at positions 8 to 496 of the family's 1533-position model. The record is from RNAcentral.
AGAGUUUGAUCAUGGCUCAGGAUGAACGCUGGCGGCGUGCCUAACACAUGCAAGUCGAGCGAUUUACUUCGGUAAAGAGCGGCGGACGGGUGAGUAACGCGUGGGUAACCUGCCCUGUACACACGGAUAACAUACCGAAAGGUAUGCUAAUACGAGAUAAUAUGCUUUUAUCGCAUGGUAGAAGUAUCAAAGCUUUUGCGGUACAGGAUGGACCCGCGUCUGAUUAGCUAGUUGGUAAGGUAACGGCUUACCAAGGCGACGAUCAGUAGCCGACCUGAGAGGGUGAUCGGCCACAUUGGAACUGAGACACGGUCCAAACUCCUACGAGAGGCAGCAGUGGGGAAUAUUGCACAAUGGGCGAAAGCCUGAUGCAGCAACGCCGCGUGAGCGAUGAAGGCCUUCGGGUCGUAAAGCUCUGUCCUCAAGGAAGAUAAUGACGGUACUUGAGGAGGAAGCCCCGG